Molecule: ribosomal RNA, 115 nt
Filed under: Panthera tigris altaica (Amur tiger)
Lineage: Eukaryota; Metazoa; Chordata; Mammalia; Carnivora; Felidae
Source: RNAcentral
GUCUAUGGCCAUACCACCCUGAACGCGCCCGAUCUCGUCUGAUCUCGGAAGCUAAGCAGGAUCGGGCCUGGUUAGUACUUGGAUGGGAGAGGGUAGAUAAUGUGAAUUUUAGAUU